AAAUAACUAUUCUGAAUUUUAUGUUUUUCACUAGUAUAUAUGAAUGCAUCGACACAUUUUUUUCAGAAUGUGUGUUCCCUCUGCAACAAUACUAAAUGCAAAUUGAGGUACAUGAAGUUUAAAAGUGGCGGUGGUACAAGAGUGAAAAAAAAAAACAGAUCUCAACUGACAACAAUUAAACAAACCAGACAAAUUUAUUGUAUAAUUUACUUACAACAAAAACAAGGCCUAAUAAUCAUUUUGAAUAUCCUGGCUUGAAUGAAAAUGAAUAAAAUCUGCCCCACAUAAUAUUAAUAAAUAAAUAAUAUUUGUGUGAAUAAUCGAAGAAAAAAAAUCCUUCCGCAUUAAAUUUUUCGUCGUCCUCUUAGUGUCAUACUACAAAUAUUAUAUAAAGAAACAACAUUUGUAAUCAAAUGCAUAUGGUAUUACGGAGUGUCGGUGCCUUUUUGUAUAUUUGUGACUGGACAGAAAAUGACUAUUUUCAUAUGUAUUUAACUUUCAUAUUUUGUACUAAAUGUGCUUUGUGUACUUGCACAUGUAUAGUUUAGCUUCCGAUUCGUUUAUAAAUGCCUCUGCAAGUCGGAUCACCUUAUGAGAUAUUUUGACCCCUCUACAUCUUCUUCUGCCGUUCUUCUUCUCGUGGCACCAAUGAAUCCAAACCCAUACCAUAAUAUCUACAUGUAGGUCGCAAAAUCCAAUGGUCGAGAGACGUUGCCAACAUCAAUUCCCAUCCCCUCUAUUAGGUCACAGGAAUAAAGAAAUUGAAACCUCAUUUUGUCCUUUUCAGAGCCCGAAGCAACUUACCAAAAAAUAAGGCAGGAUGACAAUUUAUUUAAAAAAAAAUCAGUAUGAAACAAAUAAAGAAAGGCAGGACCGAGCAGAGUGAAAAAUAAAAAAGACAGAACAGAAAAUAAAACUAACAAAAUGCAGUUCAAAAUUUUUCAUCCUUGCCC
This 953-nucleotide long non-coding RNA is filed under the name Mytilus galloprovincialis (Mediterranean mussel). The record is from RNAcentral. Lineage: Eukaryota; Metazoa; Mollusca; Bivalvia; Mytilida; Mytilidae.